UACUAAAGUUGUUGCGGUUAAAAAGCUCGUAGUUGAAAUUGUGUCCUGCGGCGUCGGUCUACCGAUUGCGGUACGACAGGCGCGUCUGCGGGGCUUCUCGCCGGUGCGUGUUCUCCGCCGGCGCGCGUAUGGGGCGCCGUCGUCUCAAGGGCGGCGGCGUUACCGCGCGCGCAUCAGUGCGGGCCUCGCGGCUGUUUACUUUGAACAAAUUAGAGUGCUCAAAGCGGGCUGAUAUUCGCCUGAAUAUUGUGUGCAUGGAAUAAUAGAAUAGGACCUCGGUUCUGUUUUGUUGGCUUUCUGAUACCAGAGGUAAUGAUUAAUAGGGACAACUGGGGGCAUUCGUAUUGCGACGUUAGAGGUGAAAUUCUUGGAUCGUCGCAAGACGGACUAAAGCGAAAGCAUUUGCCAAAGGUGUUUUCAUUAAUCAAGAACGAAAGUUAGAGGUUCGAAGGCGAUUAGAUACCGCUGUAGUUCUAACCAUAAAUGAUGCCAGCUAGCGAUCCGCCGGAAUUUUWUWAUUNGAUUCGGUGGGCAGCUCCCGGGAAACCGAAGCUUUC
RNAcentral lists this ribosomal RNA (557 nucleotides) under Chimarrhodella ulmeri. Its description in RNAcentral is "bacterial SSU rRNA". It matches the Rfam family "Eukaryotic small subunit ribosomal RNA", at positions 604 to 1119 of the family's 1831-position model. The record is from RNAcentral. Lineage: Eukaryota; Metazoa; Arthropoda; Insecta; Trichoptera; Philopotamidae.